RNAcentral lists this ribosomal RNA (1242 nucleotides) under metagenome. Its description in RNAcentral is "bacterial LSU rRNA". It matches the Rfam family "Bacterial large subunit ribosomal RNA", at positions 1564 to 2818 of the family's 2925-position model. The record is from RNAcentral.
UGAGUACGAGAUGCUACGGCAUCGAAGCAGUCUAUGUCAUACUUCCAAGAAAAGCUUGCACUGUCAGAAACAGAUAAUGCCUGUACCAUAACCGACACAGGUGGGUAGGUAGAGUAUACUAAGGGGCGCGAGAUAACUCUCUCUAAGGAACUCGGCAAAAUGACUCCGUAACUUCGGGAGAAGGAGUGCCUUAUUUUUAAGGUUGCAAUAACAAGAUCCAAGCAACUGUUUACCAAAAACACAGGUCUCCGCUAAGUCGUAAGACGAUGUAUGGGGGCUGACGCCUGCCCAGUGCCAGAAGGUUAAAGAAGUCGGUUAGCAUUCGUGAAGCUGGUAACUGAAGCCCUGGUGAACGGCGGCCGUAACUAUAACGGUCCUAAGGUAGCGAAAUUCCUUGUCGGGUAAGUUCCGACCCGCACGAAAGGCGUAAUGAUUUGGAUACUGUCUCGGAGAGGGGCUCGGUGAAAUAGACUUGUCUGUGAAGAUGCGGACUACCUGCACCUGGACAGAAAGACCCUAUGAAGCUUUACUGUAACUUGAAAUUGAAAUUGGACUUUAUUUGCGCAGUAUAGGUGGGAGGCGUUGAAAAUAUUCUUGCGGGAAUAUUGGAGCCAUCAGUGAGAUACCACUCUUGUAAUGUUAGAUUUCUAACUUUAUAUCAUUAUCUGGUUAAAGAACAGUUUCAGGCGGGCAGUUUGACUGGGGCGGUCGCCUCCCAAAUGGUAACGGAGGCGCACAAAGGUUUCCUCUGAACGGGUAGAAAUCGUAUCUAGAGUGUAAAGGCAUAAGGAAGCUUGACUGUGAGACCUACAAGUCGAGCAGGGACGAAAGUCGGUCUUAGUGAUCUGACGGUGCUGAGUGGAAAGGCCGUCACUCAACGGAUAAAAGUUACUAGGAUAACAGGCUGAUCUCCCCCAAGAGUUCACAUCGACGGGGAGGUUUGGCACCUCGAUGUCGGCUCAUCGCAUCCUGGGGCGGUAGUACGUCCCAAGGGUUGGGCUGUUCGCCCAUGAAAGCGGUACGCGAGCUGGGUUCAGAACGUCGUGAGACAGUUCGGUCCAUAUCCGGUGUAGGCGUUAGAAUAUUGAGAGGAGCCUUCUUUAGUACGAGAGGACCGAGAAGGACAUACCUCUGGUGUACCAGUUAUCGUGCCAACGGUAAACGCUGGGUAGCUAUGUAUGGAGUGGAUAACCGCUGAAAGCAUCUAAGUGGGAAGCCCACCUCAAGAUAAGUAUUCUCACC